UACGUAGGGUGCAAGCGUUAAUCGGAAUUACUGGGCGUAAAGCGUGCGCAGGCGGUUAUGUAAGACAGAUGUGAAAUGCCCGGGCUAACCUGGGAACUGCAUUUGUGACUGCAUGGCUAGAGUUUGGCAGAGGGGGGUAGAAUUCCACGUGUAGCAGUGAAAUGCGUAGAUAUGUGGAGGAACACCGAUGGCGAAGGCAGCCCCCUGGGUCAAGACUGGACGCUCAUGCACGAA
This 234-nucleotide ribosomal RNA is filed under the name uncultured bacterium. RNAcentral's name for it is "partial 16S ribosomal RNA". It matches the Rfam family "Bacterial small subunit ribosomal RNA", at positions 524 to 757 of the family's 1533-position model. The record is from RNAcentral.